This 253-nucleotide ribosomal RNA is filed under the name uncultured bacterium. Its description in RNAcentral is "partial 16S ribosomal RNA". It matches the Rfam family "Bacterial small subunit ribosomal RNA", at positions 524 to 776 of the family's 1533-position model. The record is from RNAcentral.
UACAGAGGCCUCGAGCGUUAUGCGGAAUCACUGGGCUUAAAGCGUGUGUAGGCGGACUUCUAAGUACCUUGUGAAAUCCCACGGCUCAACCGUGGAACUGCUCGGUAUACUGGUUGUCUUGAGCCAUCUAGGGGCGAGCGGAACAAGUGGUGGAGCGGUGAAAUGCGUAGAUAUCACUUGGAACGCCAACGGUGAAAACAGCUCGCUGGGGAUGUGCUGACGCUGAGACACGAAAGCCAGGGGAGCGAACGGG